This 324-nucleotide ribosomal RNA is filed under the name uncultured bacterium. Its description in RNAcentral is "bacterial SSU rRNA". It matches the Rfam family "Bacterial small subunit ribosomal RNA", at positions 29 to 378 of the family's 1533-position model. The record is from RNAcentral.
AACGAACGCUGGCGGCAUGCCUAACACAUGCAAGUCGAACGAGACCUUCGGGUCUAGUGGCGCACGGGUGCGUAACGCGUGGGAAUCUGCCCUUUGCUUCGGAAUAACAGUUAGAAAUGACUGCUAAUACCGGAUGAUGUCUUCGGACCAAAAGAUUUAUCGGCAAAGGAUGAGCCCGCGUAAGGAUUAGGUAGUUGGUGGGGUAAAGGCCUACCAAGCGACGAUCCUUAGCUGGUCUGAGAGGAUGAUCAGCCACACUGGGACUGAGACACGGCCCAGACUCCUAGGGAGGCAGCAGUUGGGGGAAUAUUGGACAAUGGGCGG